UGGGGAAUUUUGGACAAUGGGGGAAACCCUGAUCCAGCCAUCCCGCGUGUGCGAUGAAGGCCUUCGGGUUGUAAAGCACUUUUGGCAGGAAAGAAACGUCAUGGGUUAAUACCCCGUGAAACUGACGGUACCUGCAGAAUAAGCACCGGCUAACUACGUGCCAGCAGCCGCGGUAAUACGUAGGGUGCAAGCGUUAUUCGGAAUUACUGGGCGUAAAGCGUGCGCAGGCGGUUCGGAAAGAAAGAUGUGAAAUCCCAGAGCUCAACUUUGGAACUGCAUUUUUAACUACCGGGCUAGAGUGUGUCAGAGGGAGGUGGAAUUCCGCGUGUAGCAGUGAAAUGCGUAGAUAUGCGGAGGAACACCGAUGGCGAAGGCAGCCUCCUGGGAUAACACUGACGCUCAUGCACGAAAGCGUGGGGAGCAAACAGG
Molecule: ribosomal RNA, 429 nt
Filed under: Acidobacteriota bacterium
Lineage: Bacteria; Pseudomonadati; Acidobacteriota
Description: Acidobacteria bacterium partial 16S ribosomal RNA
Rfam family: Bacterial small subunit ribosomal RNA
Source: RNAcentral